Molecule: ribosomal RNA, 1827 nt
Filed under: Listeria monocytogenes
Lineage: Bacteria; Bacillati; Bacillota; Bacilli; Caryophanales; Listeriaceae
Description: partial 23S ribosomal RNA
Rfam family: Bacterial large subunit ribosomal RNA
Source: RNAcentral
GUACCGUGAGGGAAAGGUGAAAAGCACCCCGGAAGGGGAGUGAAACAGUUCCUGAAACCGUGUGCCUACAAGUAGUUAGAGCCCGUUAAUGGGUGAUAGCGUGCCUUUUGUAGAAUGAACCGGCGAGUUACGAUUUGUUGCAAGGUUAAGCGGAAAAAGCGGAGCCGUAGCGAAAGCGAGUCUGAAUAGGGCGCAUAAGUAACAGGUCGUAGACCCGAAACCAGGUGAUCUACCCAUGUCCAGGAUGAAGGUAAGGUAAUACUUACUGGAGGUCCGAACCCACGCACGUUGAAAAGUGCGGGGAUGAGGUGUGGGUAGCGGAGAAAUUCCAAUCGAACUUGGAGAUAGCUGGUUCUCUCCGAAAUAGCUUUAGGGCUAGCCUCGAGGUAAAGAGUCAUGGAGGUAGAGCACUGUUUGGACUAGGGGCCCUUCUCGGGUUACCGAAUUCAGAUAAACUCCGAAUGCCAUGUACUUAUACUCGGGAGUCAGACUGCGAGUGAUAAGAUCCGUAGUCGAAAGGGAAACAGCCCAGACCACCAGUUAAGGUCCCCAAAUAUAUGUUAAGUGGAAAAGGAUGUGGGGUUGCUUAGACAACCAGGAUGUUGGCUUAGAAGCAGCCACCAUUGAAAGAGUGCGUAAUAGCUCACUGGUCGAGUGACCCCGCGCCGAAAAUGUACCGGGGCUAAACAUAUUACCGAAACUGUGGAUGAACCUCUUUAGAGGUUCGUGGUAGGAGAGCGUUCUAAGGGCGGUGAAGUCAGACCGGAAGGACUGGUGGAGCGCUUAGAAGUGAGAAUGCCGGUAUGAGUAGCGAAAGAAGGGUGAGAAUCCCUUCCACCGAAUAUCUAAGGUUUCCUGAGGAAGGCUCGUCCGCUCAGGGUUAGUCGGGACCUAAGCCGAGGCCGAUAGGCGUAGGCGAUGGACAACAGGUAGAGAUUCCUGUACCAGUGCUAAUUGUUUAACCGAUGGGGUGACACAGAAGGAUAGGGAAUCGCACGAAUGGAAAUGUGCGUCCAAGCAGUGAGUGUGAGAAGUAGGCAAAUCCGCUUCUCGCGAAGCAUGAGCUGUGAUGGGGAAGGAAAUUAAGUACGGAAGUUCCUGAUUUCACGCUGUCAAGAAAAGCCUCUAGGAAGAGUAGUACUGCCCGUACCGCAAACCGACACAGGUAGAUGAGGAGAGAAUCCUAAGGUGAGCGAGAGAACUCUCGUUAAGGAACUCGGCAAAAUGACCCCGUAACUUCGGGAGAAGGGGUGCUCUAUUAGGGUGCAAGCCCGAGAGAGCCGCAGUGAAUAGGCCCAGGCGACUGUUUAGCAAAAACACAGGUCUCUGCAAAACCGUAAGGUGACGUAUAGGGGCUGACGCCUGCCCGGUGCUGGAAGGUUAAGAGGAGUGCUUAGCUUCGGCGAAGGUACGAAUUGAAGCCCCAGUAAACGGCGGCCGUAACUAUAACGGUCCUAAGGUAGCGAAAUUCCUUGUCGGGUAAGUUCCGACCCGCACGAAAGGCGCAACGAUCUGGGCACUGUCUCAACGAGAGACUCGGUGAAAUUAUAGUACCUGUGAAGAUGCAGGUUACCCGCGACAGGACGGAAAGACCCCGUGGAGCUUUACUGCAACCUGAUAUGGAAUGUUUGUACCGCUUGUACAGGAUAGGUAGGAGCCGAAGAGACGUGUGCGCUAGCAUACGAGGAGGCAAUGGUGGGAUACUACCCUGGCUGUAUGACCAUUCUAACCCGCCACGCUUAGCGCGUGGGGAGACAGUGUCAGGUGGGCAGUUUGACUGGGGCGGUCGCCUCCUAAAGAGUAACGGAGGCGCCCAAAGGUUCCCUC